AGCGGGGGUGUGAUCAGUAGAGCCAAAGAAGGAAGGAAACACAAUAUGAUGAGCUGGCAGUGAGUAGGAGUAUUGAUAUCGCCAUAUACCGCGUCUCCUUGAAGGGAUGUGCAUGCGCCAACAGAAUGACGCAACACAAUGUUGGGGGUUACCAUCGCUUCUAUAUAAAUAGGAGCCGAGCCGGGGGCGGAUCGCACAUGAGAGAAAAAGGCCAUUGAUCCCAUUAGUUCAUCUCCUCCUAUAGAAAACCUACGAGAGAGCCCGAGCAAGAGCAGUGGACUUCGGCGACCAUCAGGG
This 297-nucleotide long non-coding RNA is filed under the name Hordeum vulgare. RNAcentral describes it as "long non-coding RNA (HVUL_LNC000474)". The record is from RNAcentral. Lineage: Eukaryota; Viridiplantae; Streptophyta; Magnoliopsida; Poales; Poaceae.